UAAUGUUAUUUUAUAUUUUUUUAAGAGUAAAACACAUGUACACAAAUAUUUCCUUUUACUAAUUAUGAGAUUUUCAGGUAAGUUAUUGAGCUAUUUCUGUUUGAUUUGUUAGGAGAUUAGUUUUGUCCGUUUACAAGUUAACAUUGCUUGUGUUAUUCUUGGCAAGUAAUCAUUUCUUAUAUAAAUUUUUGUACACUAUAGGCUUAUCUUUUUAAAUUUUAGGUAGCGUGUGGAGAUUUCAUCUUAUGUUCAUGAGCGCACAACGUAUAAAAUAUAAAAUCAUAAGAAAUGUUUUCUGGUGGUGUGUAGCAGUUAACCGCAUUUAAGUAAAAAUAUUUUAAAAUGAUUGUUACCAGAGCUGAAUUACAUUGAGGCUUGUGGAGAACAGCUUUUUUUUAAUCUACUCUUUGGCUGGCGAAUGUAAAUAAGCAAUGAUUUUGUGAAUGCAGCGAGAGAGUUUAUUUGAUGUAUUUUAAAAUCACUGAUAAUAUUUAUUGAUGUAUUUUAAAAUCACUGAUAAUAUUUAUUGAUGUAUUUUAAAAUCACUGAUAAUAUUUGUUUUGUGGCUGGAAGAUGGUAACCAUGGUGACUUGUGAAUUUUUAUGAAGAUUAAUAAAAAGCAGUAAAAAUUA
Molecule: long non-coding RNA, 632 nt
Organism: Bacillus rossius redtenbacheri
Lineage: Eukaryota; Metazoa; Arthropoda; Insecta; Phasmatodea; Bacillidae
Exons: 2
Source: RefSeq, a predicted model, not a curated record